RNAcentral lists this ribosomal RNA (253 nucleotides) under uncultured bacterium. Its description in RNAcentral is "partial 16S ribosomal RNA". It matches the Rfam family "Bacterial small subunit ribosomal RNA", at positions 524 to 776 of the family's 1533-position model. The record is from RNAcentral.
UACGAAGGACCCGAGCGUUAUCCGGAUUUAUUGGGUUUAAAGGGAGCGUAGGUGGCCUUAUAAGUCAGUGGUGAAAUCUCUGGGCUUAACCCAGAAAUUGCCAUUGAUACUGUAGGGCUUGAGUAUAGAUGCCGUUGGCGGAAUAUGACAUGUAGUGGUGAAAUACAUAGAGAUGUCAUAGAACACCGAUUGCGAAGGCAGCUAACGAAACUAUAACUGACACUGAGGCUCGAAAGUGUGGGGAUCAAACAGG